RNAcentral lists this ribosomal RNA (566 nucleotides) under uncultured Fusobacteriota bacterium. RNAcentral's name for it is "bacterial SSU rRNA". It matches the Rfam family "Bacterial small subunit ribosomal RNA", at positions 337 to 919 of the family's 1533-position model. The record is from RNAcentral. Lineage: Bacteria; Fusobacteriati; Fusobacteriota.
UCCUACGGGAGGCAGCCAGUGGGGAAUAUUGGACAAUGGACCAAAAGUCUGAUCCAGCAAUUCCGUGUGCUUGAUGAAGGCCUUCGGGUUGUAAAGAGCUUUAAGUAGGGAAGAAGAAAGUGACGGUACUUACAGAAUAAGCGACGGCUAAAUACGUGCCAGCAGCCGCGGUAAUACGUAUGUCGCAAGCGUUAUCCGGAAUUAUUGGGCAUAAAGGGCGUCUAGGCGGUUUAGAAAGUCUGAUGUGAAAAUGCGGGGCUCAACCCCGUAUUGCGUUGGAAACUACUAGACUAGAGUAUCGGAGAGGUAAGCGGAACUACAAGUGUAGAGGUGAAAUUCGUAGAUAUUUGUAGGAAUGCCAAUUGGGAAGCCAGCUUACUGGACGAAUACUGACGCUGAAGCGCGAAAGCUAGGGGAGCAAACAGGAUUAGAUACCCUGGUAGUCCUAGCUGUAAACGAUGAUCACUGGGUGUGGGGGGUCGAACCUCUGUGCCGAAGUUAAUGCGAUAAGUGAUCCGCCUGGGGAGUACGGCCGCAAGGCUGAAACUCAAAGGAAUUGACGGGGA